This 82-nucleotide transfer RNA is filed under the name Clostridiales bacterium. RNAcentral's name for it is "tRNA-Tyr". It matches the Rfam family "tRNA". From Rfam's summary of the family: Transfer RNA (tRNA) molecules are approximately 80 nucleotides in length. Their secondary structure includes four short double-helical elements and three loops (D, anti-codon, and T loops). Lineage: Bacteria; Bacillati; Bacillota; Clostridia; Eubacteriales. The record is from RNAcentral.
GGAGGGGUUCCCGAGUGGCCAAAGGGGGCAGACUGUAAAUCUGUUAGCGCAGCUUUCGAAGGUUCAAAUCCUUCUCCCUCCA